RNAcentral lists this long non-coding RNA (358 nucleotides) under Gossypium raimondii (Peruvian cotton). RNAcentral's name for it is "long non-coding RNA (GRAI_LNC002454)". Lineage: Eukaryota; Viridiplantae; Streptophyta; Magnoliopsida; Malvales; Malvaceae. The record is from RNAcentral.
UCGGGCUUGGGUAAAAUUUUAGGCCCAUUUUUCGAACCAGGCCAGGCUCAAGCCUAACAAACGUGUAUAAAUUUUUAGUUGAGCCCAGCCCGGCUCGACCCAUGCGCACAUCUAAUCAUAAGUGAUCUCUUUUUUCUUUUUCUUUUUCUUUUUCUUUUUCUUCACUGCUUUGUUUAUAAAUUAAUAUUAAAUGUUCAUGUCAUAGAAACGUAAGUUUAAAUCUUAAGGAUUAAGAAAUUUUGGCACUAUUGAAUUAAUAUCAUAUACUUUGGUAAAAUUACCAUCGGGAUCCUUAUAUUAGAAGUCAUAUUACAUUUUGCCUCCUCUAACAAAAAAUAGACAAAUUAGUCCAUUUACG